RNAcentral lists this long non-coding RNA (232 nucleotides) under Lathyrus oleraceus (garden pea). RNAcentral's name for it is "Pisum sativum (pea) long non-coding RNA (PSAT_LNC008053)". Lineage: Eukaryota; Viridiplantae; Streptophyta; Magnoliopsida; Fabales; Fabaceae. The record is from RNAcentral.
CUCAACUGAACUCAAAAGAUCAAAGGCUGAAGUUCAUAAACUCAAGCAGAAGUCACAACUGAUGUCUCAACAUCAGGGAACCAGGAUGAGUAACCAUCAGAAGAAGAAAUUUCAAAGAUGGAGAUGUCACUAUUGUGGUAGAUUUGGUCACAUAAAACUUUUCUGCUACAGGCUGCAUGGUUAUCCUAACCAGACUGCUCAAGUCAGACCUAAGCUGAAGGCAUCUACGUAU